UGGCGGGUGCGAACAAGCGUAUCCUCGCGCGUCGCGCGGCUUCCUCUGCCCCAAACCCUACACCCCACCCCAAUCCCUCCAGCCGCCACUGCCCCACCCAUGUUUCUCCUCGCGCGCUCGCCCCAGACCAGCCGCCGCCGCGCCGCUGGGGCUCGUCCGCCACGGGUUUCCAUGGGGAAGGAGCAGCGACGGGGUAGGCUCCAGGCGGCACACACUUCAUGGGGAGGCAAGGAACCAGAAGGUGAUGGGGUCGGAUCUGGCGGUGGUAGGUCGAAGCUCGAUCCCGAGGCCUAGACGGGGAAGGUUAAAAAAUAGAGAGACCGGAUGGAGGUGGUCGAGGCGGAGGACCGCCAGCCGGUGAGCUCGAGCUUGAGACGGUGAGAUCCCUUUCCCCAUCUCUAUUCUCUCAGUUUCUUCCUCUCCAAAUCUUCAUUUAUCGCCUCUCGCCCUUAGCACAAUUAGCGUCACCGGCCAUUGUAUGGGUUGGAGCACGAGGCAGCGCUCCCGUCACUACGUGGUGGAGCUGCGUAGGAUGGGGAGCAGGCUGGCAACAGGGAUUGGUUCUUCAGUUCAUUUGCUGCAGGACAGAAUGUUCUAUGGGUUGGAGCAGAGGGUGUUGAGCAACAUCUGAGAUUGGGUGAUGCGUUGACCUGAACGGCAUGGUGGUAAGGCAUCAUAAUAGGUGCUACUAUUGGCUAGAAUGGCGCCGUGGUAAGGCAUUCUAAGGUUCCAUAUGAUUAGUGUUUGGGUGACUGUUGUUGAUUCCUACACCGAGUUGUGUUGCUGUACAAAUAGCCUCUCUUGUUGGUGGUGCCACGGUGUCCCUUCCAGGUUUAGCAGCGGGCAAUGCUCAAGACAGAGUUGGGUGCACAUCAUAUAUAUACAUAUGUUGUCGCGUCUUAAUAAAGGGAGAUGAGCAGAAGUAGAGAUGAGAUAUCUAUCUGACUGUCAUCCUUCCAAGACUUGGGUUUGUCAUCUCUGUCAGCGUCCGCUUUUGCUUCCUUCGUUGGUUGUCGCUUCUUUGUACACUGCUGUAGUUUAGAGAUUGUAAUAUAUUUUCCAUGGAUACAAUUGAAUAUGACACCCAAUUUGCUAUAUAAUUGUUCAGCUCUCUCUCAUAGCGAUUCAUACAAAAUAUCAUGCAUAAUGGUCCCAGUUUAAGUAGAAUAUAACCAUUGGAUUAUUCAAACUUUGCUCGUGUGUCACAGGGCACCAUAACUUUAAUCCGACAUGAGCAGUGCAACCACGACAGUGAGCAGUGGAAUCACAAGAUAGAGAUAGACACAAGUAGAAUAUAACUGGUCAUAUUUCUACAAUGACCACACUACUUAUGGUGCCGGAAGAGAAGGCAUCAGUGAUAGUGGGCUUGGUGAUGAGGGCAUCAAUACAAAGAUAUUAAUUCACAACUCUGUUCUUGAUAGGUUGUACAAAUAUAUAAGGUUACUGUUUCCUUUUAUGUUUAAAUAGCUUUGUGAGUACAAUUAUAUGAAAAUUCUGUGAUUCAUGGUGCGGAAGCAGGCAUCUUUGUUUUCUUGAGUGAAAAUACUUAGUUUCAUGCCUCCAUAGUAUUAUUUAGAGGCACAAUCCAAUGAUAGAUUCCUACUUAUAGCUAGCUAAUAUAUAGCGUUUGAUGGUACUGUAUGAUGUUGUAAAUACAAAAUAUGCUGCAUGAGCAUUACUUUUAUUUUGAAUUUAAUUUAGUGUUUGAGCCUCUUUUA
Triticum dicoccoides is the source of this 1718-nucleotide long non-coding RNA. RefSeq lists it as uncharacterized. Lineage: Eukaryota; Viridiplantae; Streptophyta; Magnoliopsida; Poales; Poaceae. The transcript has 3 exons. The record is from RefSeq and is a predicted model, not a curated record.